RNAcentral lists this ribosomal RNA (483 nucleotides) under uncultured bacterium. RNAcentral describes it as "partial 16S ribosomal RNA". It matches the Rfam family "Bacterial small subunit ribosomal RNA", at positions 30 to 506 of the family's 1533-position model. The record is from RNAcentral.
AUUGAACGCUGGCGGCAGGCCUAACACAUGCAAGUCGAACGGAUGAAGGGAGCUUGCUCCUGGAUUCAGCGGCGGACGGGUGAGUAAUGCCUAGGAAUCUGCCUGGUAGUGGGGGAUAACGUCCGGAAACGGGCGCUAAUACCGCAUACGUCCUGAGGGAGAAAGUGGGGGAUCUUCGGACCUCACGCUAUCAGAUGAGCCUAGGUCGGAUUAGCUAGUUGGUGGGGUAAAGGCCUACCAAGGCGACGAUCCGUAACUGGUCUGAGAGGAUGAUCAGUCACACUGGAACUGAGACACGGUCCAGACUCCUACGGGAGGCAGCAGUGGGGAAUAUUGGACAAUGGGCGAAAGCCUGAUCCAGCCAUGCCGCGUGUGUGAAGAAGGUCUUCGGAUUGUAAAGCACUUUAAGUUGGGAGGAAGGGCAGUAAGUUAAUACCUUGCUGUUUUGACGUUACCAACAGAAUAAGCACCGGCUAACUUCGU